GCCGGGGUGGCGAAAUUGGCAGACGCACGGGACUCAAAAUCCCGCGGUAGCGAUACCAUGCCGGUUCGAGUCCGGCCCCCGGCACCA
RNAcentral lists this transfer RNA (87 nucleotides) under Candidatus Babelota bacterium. RNAcentral's name for it is "tRNA-Leu". It matches the Rfam family "tRNA". From Rfam's summary of the family: Transfer RNA (tRNA) molecules are approximately 80 nucleotides in length. Their secondary structure includes four short double-helical elements and three loops (D, anti-codon, and T loops). Further hydrogen bonds mediate the characteristic L-shaped molecular structure. tRNAs have two regions of fundamental functional importance: the anti-codon, which is responsible for specific mRNA codon recognition, and the 3' end, to which the tRNAs corresponding amino acid is attached (by aminoacyl-tRNA synthetases). tRNAs cope with the degeneracy of the genetic code in two manners: having more than one tRNA (with a specific anti-codon) for a particular amino acid; and 'wobble' base-pairing, i.e. permitting non-standard base-pairing at the 3rd anti-codon position. The record is from RNAcentral.